AUUGGAUGAUGGGAAUUUAAACCCCUUCCAGAGUAUCAAUUGGAGGGCAAGUCUGGUGCCAGCAGCCGCGGUAAUUCCAGCUCCAAUAGCGUAUAUUAAACUUGUUGCAGUUAAAAAGCUCGUAGUUGAAUUUCUGCUGUUUCGUUGACUGCGUUUGGCGUUUGUCAUCGUUGCGGCUUGGUUGGGUUUCGAUUAUUCGUUUCCCGGCGUUUACUUUGAGAAAAUUAGAGUGCUUGAAGCAGGCUUUUGCCUUGAAUACUUUAGCAUGGAAUAACGGAGUAGGACUUUGGUUCUAUUUUGUUGGUUUUAGGAGCCAGAGUAAUGGUUAAUAGGAACAGUUGGGGGCAUUCGUAUUUGACUGUCAGAGGUGAAAUUCUUAGA
Molecule: ribosomal RNA, 381 nt
Filed under: Theileria equi
Lineage: Eukaryota; Apicomplexa; Aconoidasida; Piroplasmida; Theileriidae
Description: SSU rRNA
Rfam family: Eukaryotic small subunit ribosomal RNA
Source: RNAcentral